Molecule: ribosomal RNA, 301 nt
Filed under: uncultured bacterium
Lineage: Bacteria
Description: partial 16S ribosomal RNA
Rfam family: Bacterial small subunit ribosomal RNA
Source: RNAcentral
CAGCCGCCACGGUAAAACGAAGGGUGCAAGCGUUACUCGGAAUUACUGGGCGUAAAGCGUGCGUAGGUGGUGGUUUAAGUCCGUUGUGAAAGCCCUGGGCUCAACCUGGGAAUUGCAGUGGAUACUGGGUCACUAGAGUGUGGUAGAGGAUAGUGGAAUUUCCGGUGUAGCAGUGAAAUGCGUAGAGAUCGGAAGGAACAUCUGUGGCGAAGGCGGCCCCCUGGACGAAGACUGACGCUCAGGUGCGAAAGCGUGGGGAGCGAACGGGAUUAGAUACCCCUGUAGUCCCUGUCUCUUAUAC